This 279-nucleotide ribosomal RNA is filed under the name uncultured bacterium. RNAcentral's name for it is "partial 16S ribosomal RNA". It matches the Rfam family "Bacterial small subunit ribosomal RNA", at positions 506 to 784 of the family's 1533-position model. The record is from RNAcentral.
UGCCAGCAGCCGCGGUAAUACGAAGGUCCCAAGCGUUAUUCGGAAUCACUGGGCGUAAAGGGAGCGUAGGCGGCGCGGAAAGUCAGAUGUGAAAGCCCAAGGCUCAACCUUGGAACUGCAUCCGAUACUCCCGCGCUAGAGGACUGGAGAGGUGUUUGGAAUUAUCGGUGUAGCAGUGAAAUGCGUAGAGAUCGAUAGGAAGACCAAUGGCGAAGGCAGAACACUGGACAGUACCUGACGCUGAGGCUCGAAGGCUAGGGGAGCGAAAGGGAUUAGAUA